This 213-nucleotide unclassified non-coding RNA is filed under the name Hevea brasiliensis (rubber tree). The record is from RNAcentral. Lineage: Eukaryota; Viridiplantae; Streptophyta; Magnoliopsida; Malpighiales; Euphorbiaceae.
AAAAAGAAUAGUGUUACAAUGAAAAACGAAAAGCUCGGUUUCGACUACGGUACCUCUUCUCUUCAUACUGUUGGUUCUGUUUCUUUUGGCCUUCUCUGUUUUCAGCAGGUCCAAGAUGAUGAUCUCUUGAUUAGUGGCUUCAUUUGCUUGUCCUCUUCAAGUGAAAUCAUCCCCAAGUGUGAUGGAUCUUCCAACAUCAUCUUUGCAACCAAG